Molecule: long non-coding RNA, 989 nt
Organism: Dendronephthya gigantea
Lineage: Eukaryota; Metazoa; Cnidaria; Anthozoa; Malacalcyonacea; Nephtheidae
Exons: 6
Source: RefSeq, a predicted model, not a curated record
GAUUGCUACAAAGUAUUUAUUUCGCAAUCGCCUGAUAUGUAUGUCCAUAUAAGGAACAAAAUAUAACACGUGAUCAGCGCCUGUAUGCAAAUUUUGAGCGCGUCGUUUGAAAACUCUUUUGAAUCGUAUUUCAUACUGCAGUGUUGAAGAUGUUUUCAGCGUAUUUUCUUAACUAUUUUGGUACUUCUAAAUAUGCUGAACAGCAACGGACUCACAUAAGGAAAUAUCAAGACAAUUGGCUAUGAUAUUAUCUCAGAAAUAUCUUGAGAAGCCAAAUGAAUUCUACUUUUAAUACUGCGAUGAUCUCUUUAGCAAUCUGGGUCAAAGAAAAUAUCAUUGCAAUAAUAGUUUUCACCAAGAUUGAAUGAAGGCGUCAAAUGUGGCAAAUUAAGGGGAAACUGUAAUUCUAAUGAUAUGACAAGGAAAUAUCCCUUCCUUGCUGACUCAAUUGUGGUUGUGGAACAGGUUCAUGGACCAUAACAAGGCCAUAGGUUGAAACAAUUUUAGAAGAAUAUCCUGCACUUCAGCUUAUUACAGAGAUCAGGACCCAAGGCUAAUUCGUUCAGAUGACCUUUCAGAUGUUCAAACUUUCAUGAUUGCGGUGGAGGGGCAAAUGUUAACUUAUCAAAGAACAGACUCAACUUCAUUUUAUCUACUAAACAUGGAGUACAUUGCUGGUGUGGCAAAUGUGUGUGCAUUUUUGGAAACUGCUCUCGUCGGGAAGCCUUAGGACAAAAACUUUUGAAGGACGUUAAGUACCGUAAAAAUUUUAAACAUUCUUGUAGCUACGUAGAUUUUCCAGUCAGAGCAUAUGAAGAAAUAAAUAUUUUUUAAUCGCAUUUGGUCUACUUCGUAUGAUUAUAGCUUAUGCUAUUUAGUCGCUCCAUUGCUAGCGCUAAAAGUGCAAAAACUAAUCCACACAAACUUCAGGUGUUAGAUUAACACCAAAAGUAGGCGUCAAACUAGCACCAAAGAUCGUGCUAAUUUGA